This 840-nucleotide ribosomal RNA is filed under the name uncultured bacterium. RNAcentral's name for it is "bacterial SSU rRNA". It matches the Rfam family "Bacterial small subunit ribosomal RNA", at positions 58 to 916 of the family's 1533-position model. The record is from RNAcentral.
CAAGUCGUACGGUAAGCUUCGGCUUAUAGUGGCGAAAGGGAGAGUAACGCGUGGUUACAUGCCCUCGGGACCGGGAUAGCGGCGGGAAACUGCCGGUAAUACCGGAUAAUAUCUUUGGAUCAAAGGUGUGAUUCCGCCCGAGGAUUGGACCGCGUUCUAUUAGCUUGUUGGCGGGGUAAUGGCCCACCAAGGCGACGAUGGAUACCGGGUGUGAGAGCAUGGCCCGGCUCACUGGGACUGAGACACUGCCCAGACACCUACGGGUGGCUGCAGUCGAGAAUCUUCGGCAAUGGGGGCAACCCUGACCGAGCGACGCCGCGUGCGGGACGAAGGCCUUCGGGUUGUAAACCGCUGUCAGUUGGGAGGAAGUGCCGGGGGGUUCUCCCCUCGGUUUGACCGAUCUUCAGAGGAAGGACGGGCUAAGUUCGUGCCAGCAGCCGCGGUAAGACGAACCGUCCAAACGUUAUUCGGUAUCACUGGGCUUAAAGCGUGCGUAGGCGGCCUGGUAGGUGAGGUGUGAAAGCCCACGGCUCAACCGUGGAAUUGCGCUUCAAACCACCAGGCUGGAGGAUGGCAGGGGUGAUGGGAACUGAUGGUGGAGCGGUGAAAUGCGUUGAUAUCAUCAGGAACACCGGUGGCGAAGGCGCAUCACUGGGCCAUUUCUGACGCUGAGGCACGAAAGCUAGGGUAGCGAACGGGAUUAGAUACCCCGGUAGUCCUAGCUGUAAACGAUGAGCACUGGGUUGAGGGGACCUCCACAUCUUCUCGGCCGUAGCGAAAGCGUUAAGUGCUCCGCCUGGGGAGUAUGGCCGCAAGGCUGAAACUCAAAGGAAUUGACGG